This 177-nucleotide non-coding RNA is filed under the name Porticoccus litoralis. Its description in RNAcentral is "6S RNA". It matches the Rfam family "6S / SsrS RNA". From Rfam's summary of the family: E. coli 6S RNA was the first non coding RNA to be sequenced, but its function was unknown until recently. It consists of 184 nucleotides that fold into an extended hairpin structure with a large single-stranded internal bulge. RNAcentral also lists the same sequence under 1 other name. Lineage: Bacteria; Pseudomonadati; Pseudomonadota; Gammaproteobacteria; Cellvibrionales; Porticoccaceae. The record is from RNAcentral.
AACGCCCUGGGGUGCUUGCCAGUUGACAAGUCCUCGAGCCGAUAAUCUGUAACCUGGGGGUUACAAGACGAUACGGUGUGCAUGUCCGCGUGACGGAAAGCCUAAAGUGUCGCUGUAGCCACCACCUUGAACUUCACGGUUCAAGGCCAAGUUGACAGCGGCACUUCCGGGGACUCA